RNAcentral lists this long non-coding RNA (366 nucleotides) under Carica papaya (papaya). RNAcentral describes it as "long non-coding RNA (CPAP_LNC005508)". Lineage: Eukaryota; Viridiplantae; Streptophyta; Magnoliopsida; Brassicales; Caricaceae. The record is from RNAcentral.
UAUAAGUCAACCCUAAUUUUUCAACGAGUGUUGUGUUGGCUACGUUAGUGCAGCUCCCUCCAUCGAUGAUUAUACUGCAUAUCUUUCUACCCACGAGACACCUUGUAUAGAAUAUAUUCUCUCUCUGAUCAUCCUCCUCCUUUACCUAGAUAUUGAGGGCUCUCCUUGAGCUGUGUACUCAUGUUCCUCAUCCAUAACUUCUAGUGAUGACAUGCUAUCACUUUCAGAGUCACUGUCGAUCUCGCCAUCGUCUCUUAAAGACGUAACCCUUUUAUUUGAGUAUUGGGAAAUGAUGUGCCCAAAAUAUAAAGACCUGAAACAUUUGAUAGUGCUAUAUUUCUAAGAUGAGAUAGGUGUCUUACUUUU